Molecule: RNA transcript, 1619 nt
Organism: Miniopterus natalensis
Lineage: Eukaryota; Metazoa; Chordata; Mammalia; Chiroptera; Miniopteridae
Gene: GGCT
Gene name: gamma-glutamylcyclotransferase
Source: RefSeq, a predicted model, not a curated record
GAAGGAGACAGACAUGGUCUCUGCUGUUAUCAGGGUUCUUAGCUGCAAGCAACAGAAAGCAGCUGAUCUAAGCUGAAAAAGAACACAUUGAAAGGCUGUUGGAGAGCUUACGGAAUGACGGGGAAGUUAGGACCACAAAGCUGACAAAACAGGCAGGCAUAAAGGGAGGCCGGCAGCCGUGACACAGCCAGUGUCAGCGCCAGAAGCAGCCCAGGAGGCCAGACUGCAGCCCUGCUGAACCCGGUACAUGAGGACACCGCCCGGGCAUCGCCCGCACCACCUGCUCUGGACCCUGCCCGCCGCUGUCGCUGCACCCCUGGGGAUCCUGAAACCCAGAUGUCCGCCACCACCAGGGUGGAGUUUGUGCCAUGUGCCCAAGUGAAGCUGGGAGAACCAACUUCUGGCUUUCAAAGCUUCAAAAUUGGGAGUCGGGCUCUGGCACUCUCUACCCCGUAUGUAGCUUUCACCCAGUUUCAAUAAUUAUGCACACUAUGAUUGCCGCCAAGUUAAAAUCUAUGUGUAAGUAGACUGGGAAGUAGUUUUGAAAAAAUGAAAAUAGUCGUGGAUUAUAGGAUUUUUCUCCCCCCCCUUAAACCUUUUGUUUGUGGUAAGAUACUGUACGUAUUAAGUAUACAUUUCAUUUUUUUUUUUAAAUAUAAAAACAUACAGUCCUUGAGAUCUGGGUUUUUGUUUAUCUUUGAAUUUUCCACAUCUUUUACCCAUAGAAGGAACUCAAAGUUUAUGUUUUAAUUGCAUGAAAUUCAAGGUAAAUCCUUUUUUCUUGAGGAAGGCAAUUUUGGUUCAAGAGAAUAUUGAUCAUAUAUAUCACUUUGGUUUUCUUUGUAGGAUUAUAAGCUUGACUUUGGCAAUUUCCAAGGCAAAACAAGUGAAACUUGGCAUGGAGGCAAGAAGGGGUUAACAGUGGAACAUAUGUCCCAAUGGAAAUUAAUGUUUGCACUCAAGAAGGAAAACAAAUAACCUGUCGAAGUUAUCAGAUGAGAAAUUAUGAGAGCGCUCCCCCUUCACCCCAGUAUAAAAAGGUCAUUUGCAUGGGUGCCAAAGAGAAUGGUCUGCCACUGGAGUAUCAAAAGAAGUUAAAUGCGAUAGAACCAAAUAACUACAGAGGAAGGGUCUCCGAAGAAAUUGAAGACAUUCUCAGAAAGGGGGAAACAAAAACUCCUUAGAACAUACUAGACUGUACCUUUGGGUAUUUUCUCUAUGUGCUCAUUUAAUAUGUUUUUAACAUUUGGAACAGGGAUCUGGGAUAUAUCUGCGUUUAAAGUAUUUUCAACAGUGCUCUGAAGGGAUAUCUCACUGGACUGAUUCCUUGUUUUCAGACUAAAAAAAGAAACUGGGUUAGGAGUUGGGCAGUUGCAAAGGGAACCAUGAGGCACCGAAUGCAUGAUAUGUGGAUGUGGGUUCUUCCGUGAACACUUUUCUAUGCAGUUAUUUUCUUGAGUUGAUCUGAAGUGUAAUCUUGCUCUGUGACAAAGGAUAGAUUUGCAACUUAAUGACGGUGCUGGUGAGUCACUCUGCUCUGGAAUUGUUUUUGUUUUAUCAGCCUAAUAAGAGCAAGCAAGCCGCAGAGACAGUUGACAAUAAACAUUUUAAAAUUUAAA